Molecule: ribosomal RNA, 468 nt
Filed under: uncultured bacterium
Lineage: Bacteria
Description: partial 16S ribosomal RNA
Rfam family: Bacterial small subunit ribosomal RNA
Source: RNAcentral
GACGAACGCUGGCGGCGUGCUUAACACAUGCAAGUCGAACGGAAAGGCCCUGCUUUUGUGGGGGGCUCGAGUGGCGAACGGGUGUGUAACACGUGAGUAACCUGCCCUUGACUUUGGGAUAACUUCAGGAAACUGGGGCUAAUACCGGAUAGGAGCUCCUGCUGCAUGGUGGGGGUUGGAAAGUUUCGGCGGUUGGGGAUGGACUCGCGGCUUAUCAGCUUGUUGGUGGGGUAGUGGCUUACCAAGGCUUUGACGGGUAGCCGGCCUGAGAGGGUGACCGGCCACAUUGGGACUGAGAUACGGCCCAGACUCCUACGGGAGGCAGCAGUGGGGAAUAUUGCACAAUGGGCGGAAGCCUGAUGCAGCAACGCCGCGUGCGGGAUGACGGCCUUCGGGUUGUAAACCGCUUUCGGCUGGGACGAAGCGUGAGUGACGGUAAUGGGUGAAGAAGCACCGGCUAACUACGUG